RNAcentral lists this ribosomal RNA (245 nucleotides) under uncultured Paraprevotella sp. Its description in RNAcentral is "partial 16S ribosomal RNA". It matches the Rfam family "Bacterial small subunit ribosomal RNA", at positions 524 to 769 of the family's 1533-position model. The record is from RNAcentral. Lineage: Bacteria; Pseudomonadati; Bacteroidota; Bacteroidia; Bacteroidales; Prevotellaceae.
UACGGAAGAUGCGAGCGUUAUCCGGAUUUAUUGGGUUUAAAGGGAGCGUAGGCGGGUUUUUAAGUCUGCGGUAAAAUGUCGGCGCCCAACGUCGUCGUGCCGUGGAAACUGGAGACCUUGAAUACACGCAAGGAAGAUGGAAUUCGUCGUGUAGCGGUGAAAUGCUUAGAUAUGACGAAGAACUCCGAUUGCGAAGGCAGUCUUCUGGAGUGCGAUUGACGCUGAGGCUCGAAAGUGCGGGUAUC